This 72-nucleotide transfer RNA is filed under the name Methanobacteriota archaeon. RNAcentral's name for it is "Euryarchaeota archaeon tRNA-His". It matches the Rfam family "tRNA". From Rfam's summary of the family: Transfer RNA (tRNA) molecules are approximately 80 nucleotides in length. Their secondary structure includes four short double-helical elements and three loops (D, anti-codon, and T loops). The record is from RNAcentral. Lineage: Archaea; Methanobacteriati; Methanobacteriota.
GCUGCGGUAGUCUAGUGGUUAGGACGGCAGACUGUGGCUCUGCCAGCCCGGAUUCGAAUUCCGGUCGCGGCC